Molecule: long non-coding RNA, 288 nt
Organism: Thalassophryne amazonica
Lineage: Eukaryota; Metazoa; Chordata; Actinopteri; Batrachoidiformes; Batrachoididae
Exons: 2
Source: RefSeq, a predicted model, not a curated record
CAGAAGACUAAGAUGUAUGAGACAUGGGUAAUAAUCAACAAAGUGGAGAACUACAUACACACAGCAAACUGCACCUGUAUGGCUGGUGCUGACAAAUGAGGAGAUACAGGAACUGCAGGUUGUGGCUCCAGAUGCUGCAGUGUUGACAAGUCUGGAGAACAGUGACACAGACACUGCGUCAUCCGGCAAUGAUGAAGAGGAGCAUCCAGGCUUACCUGAGCCCUUGACUGCUUUAUUUAAUGCAUCAUAGAGGGACCUCUCACCUCAGGAAUUACAGGACAAAAGCAA